Molecule: ribosomal RNA, 253 nt
Filed under: uncultured prokaryote
Description: partial 16S ribosomal RNA
Rfam family: Bacterial small subunit ribosomal RNA
Source: RNAcentral
UACGAAGGGGGCUAGCGUUGUUCGGAUUUACUGGGCGUAAAGCGCACGUAGGCGGAUAUUUAAGUCGGGGGUGAAAUCCCGGGGCUCAACCCCGGAACUGCCUUCGAUACUGGGUAUCUUGAGUGUGGUAGAGGUGAGUGGAAUUGCGAGUGUAGAGGUGAAAUUCGUAGAUAUUCGCAGGAACACCAGUGGCGAAGGCGGCUCACUGGACCACAACUGACGCUGAGGUGCGAAAGCGUGGGGAGCAAACAGG